GCAUAUUGCGCAUCGUGCGACACAGCUCGAUGCACAUAUCUUUGAGAGUCCA
This 52-nucleotide ribosomal RNA is filed under the name Anopheles fluminensis. Its description in RNAcentral is "partial 5.8S ribosomal RNA". The record is from RNAcentral. Lineage: Eukaryota; Metazoa; Arthropoda; Insecta; Diptera; Culicidae.